UGAAAUGCGAUAACUAGUGUGAAUUGCAUUAUCUCGUGAAUCAUCAAGUCUUUGAACGCAUCUUGCACUUUUCAGGUCUCCUGAAAAGUAUACUUGUUUGAGUAUCAUAAACAUUUAAUCUAAACUAUCCCCAUUAAAAAAGGCUAGUUUGGGAUUUGAGGCUUCAAGAGCGAGAUAUACAUUUCUCCUUGUGCCUUUAAAUGUAUAGUAUAAGCUACAUUUUUGUUUCGGCAAAAAUGAGCCUUUAUUGGAUCAAACGUGAGAUAGCACAUCACACAGAGUAGUCUUUAUAAAGGUAUAGCCUAUAAAUGAGGUAUAUUUUGAACAUUGAUCUCAAAUCAAGUAAGACUACCCGCUGAACUUAA
RNAcentral lists this unclassified non-coding RNA (365 nucleotides) under uncultured fungus. RNAcentral describes it as "sequence contains ITS1". The stretch from base 1 to 107 matches the Rfam family "5.8S ribosomal RNA", at positions 49 to 154 of the family's 154-position model. Lineage: Eukaryota; Fungi. The record is from RNAcentral.